Molecule: ribosomal RNA, 253 nt
Filed under: uncultured bacterium
Lineage: Bacteria
Description: partial 16S ribosomal RNA
Rfam family: Bacterial small subunit ribosomal RNA
Source: RNAcentral
GACGAACCGUCCGAACGUUAUUCGGUAUCACUGGGCUUAAAGAGUUCGUAGGCGGCCGAGUAGGUCAGGUGUGAAAUCCCACAGCUCAACUGUGGAACUGCGCUUGAAACCGUUUGGCUUGAGGGAGAUAGAGGUGAGCGGAACAGAUGGUGGAGCGGUGAAAUGCGUUGAUAUCAUCUGGAACACCGGUGGCGAAAGCGGCUCACUGGAUCUUUUCUGACGCUGAGGAACGAAAGCUAGGGUAGCUAACGGG